UACGUAGGUGGCGAGCGUUAUCCGGAAUGAUUGGGCGUAAAGGGUGCGUAGGCGGCCUGCUAAGUCUGGAGUGAAAGGUACCGGCUCAACCGGUACAGGCUCUGGAAACUGGCGGGCUAGAGAGCAGGAGAGGGCGGUGGAACUCCAUGUGUAGCGGUAAAAUGCGUAGAUAUAUGGAAGAACACCAGUGGCGAAGGCGGAUUGCUGGACAGUAACUGACGCUGAGGCGCGAAAGCGUGGGGAGCAAACAGG
Molecule: ribosomal RNA, 252 nt
Filed under: uncultured bacterium
Lineage: Bacteria
Description: partial 16S ribosomal RNA
Rfam family: Bacterial small subunit ribosomal RNA
Source: RNAcentral